ACGCUGGCGGCGUGCCUAAUACAUGCAAGUAGAACGCUGAAGCUUGGUGCUUGCACCGAGCGGAUGAGUUGCGAACGAGUGAGUAACGCGUAGGUAACCUGCCUCUUAGCGGGGGAUAACUAUUGGAAACGAUAGCUAAUACCGCAUAAAAGUCGACAUCGCAUGAUGUUGACUUGAAAGGUGCAAUUGCAUCACUAAGAGAUGGACCUGCGUUGUAUUAGCUAGUUGGUGAGGUAACGGCUCACCAAGGCGACGAUACAUAGCCGACCUGAGAGGGUGAUCGGCCACACUGGGACUGAGACACGGCCCAGACUCCUACGGGAGGCAGCAGUAGGGAAUCUUCGGCAAUGGGGGCAACCCUGACCGAGCAACGCCGCGUGAGUGAAGAAGGUUUUCGGAUCGUAAAGCUCUGUUGUAAGAGAAGAACGAGUGUGAGAGUGGAAAGUUCACACUGUGACGGUAACUUACCAGAAAGGGACGGCUAACUACGUGCCAGCAGCCGCGGUAAUACGUAGGUCCCGAGCGUUAUCCGGAUUUAUUGGGCGUAAAGCGAGCGCAGGCGGUUAGAUAAGUCUGAAGUUAAAGGCUGUGGCUUAACCAUAGUACGCUUUGGAAACUGUUUAACUUGAGUGCAGAAGGGGAGAGUGGAAUUCCAUGUGUAGCGGUGAAAUGCGUAGAUAUAUGGAGGAACACCGGUGGCGAAAGCGGCUCUCUGGUCUGUAACUGACGCUGAGGCUCGAAAGCGUGGGGAGCAAACAGGAUUAGAUACCCUGGUAGUCCACGCCGUAAACGAUGAGUGCUAGGUGUUGGGUCCUUUCCGGGACUCAGUGCCGCAGCUAACGCAUUAAGCACUCCGCCUGGGGAGUACGACCGCAAGGUUGAAACUCAAAGGAAUUGACGGGGGCCCGCA
RNAcentral lists this ribosomal RNA (910 nucleotides) under uncultured bacterium. RNAcentral describes it as "bacterial SSU rRNA". It matches the Rfam family "Bacterial small subunit ribosomal RNA", at positions 33 to 925 of the family's 1533-position model. The record is from RNAcentral.